RNAcentral lists this ribosomal RNA (465 nucleotides) under uncultured bacterium. Its description in RNAcentral is "partial 16S ribosomal RNA". It matches the Rfam family "Bacterial small subunit ribosomal RNA", at positions 28 to 507 of the family's 1533-position model. The record is from RNAcentral.
GACGAACGCUGGCGGCGUGCUUAACACAUGCAAGUCGAACGGAAAGGCCCCUUUGGGGGUGCUCGCGUGGCGAACGGGCGGGUAACACGUGAGUAACCUGCCCUUGACUUCGGGUUAACUUCAUUAAACUGGGGCUAAUACCUGCUAGGAAUCCUUUCCGCAUGCAGGGGGUUGGAAAGCUUCGGCGGUUUGGGAUGGACUCGCGGCUUACUAGCUUGUUGGUUGGGUAGUGGCUUACCUACGCUUUGACUGGUAGCCGGCCUGAGAGGGCGAACGGCCAAAUUGGGACUGAGAUACGGGCCAGACGCCUACGGGAGGGAGGAGUGGGGAAUAUUGGACCAUGGGCGGGAGCCUGAAGCAGCAACGCCGCGGGCGGGGAGACGGCCUUCCGGUUGGUAACCGGUUUCAGCAGGGGCGGAGCUUGGGGUGACGGUACCGGCAGAAGAAGCACCGGCUAACUACGUG